Aethina tumida (small hive beetle) is the source of this 334-nucleotide long non-coding RNA. RefSeq lists it as uncharacterized. NCBI's taxonomy places the organism in Eukaryota, Metazoa, Arthropoda, Insecta, Coleoptera, Nitidulidae. The transcript has 2 exons. The record is from RefSeq and is a predicted model, not a curated record.
UUCAAUGCUAAAAGUCAAUACGUGUUUGACAGAAAAAAUGCUAAAUAAAAAGAGAAAUCAAACUGUUCAUACAUCCAGAUUACUCUCCUAUGAACUUUUCGAAUUCGUGCAGGGAUCCGGGAUGGUAAGAAAACAGAUGUGCGGAAGUUAUGCUCUUAAUAAGUGUUAACUCCGCGGGCGAGGAGAAGCGAAAUAAAAAAAGGGAAAGACAGAUGACAUUCGCAGAGAAAGGUAUGAUGCGGACGACAACUGGAAGUACUCGAACAAAGAAGCUAAGAAAAAAACGGAUUAUUAUAAUUUCAUAUUUUUAUUAAAGUCCCUUUUUCUUUGUCAA